GACGAACGCUGGCGGCGUGCUUAACACAUGCAAGUCGAACGGAAAGGCCCAGCUUGCUGGGUACUCGAGUGGCGAACGGGUGAGUAACACGUGGGUGAUCUGCCCUGCACUCUGGGAUAAGCCUGGGAAACUGGGUCUGAUACCGGAUAUGAUCAACUGUCGCAUGGUGGUUGGUGGAAAGCUUUUGCGGUGUGGGAUGGGCCCGCGGCCUAUCAGCUUGUUGGUGGGGUAAUGGCCUACCAAGGCGACGACGGGGAGCCGACCUGAGAGGGGGAUCGGCCACACUGGGACUGAGACACGGCCCAGACUCCUACGGGAGGCAGCAGUGGGGAAUAUUGCACAAUGGGCGCAAGCCUGAUGCAGCGACGCCGCGUGAGGGAUGACGGCCUUCGGGUUGUAAACCUCUUUCACCAGGGACGAAGCGUGAGUGACGGUACCUGGAGAAGAAGCACCGGCCAACUACGUGCCAGCAGCCGCCGUAA
RNAcentral lists this ribosomal RNA (482 nucleotides) under uncultured bacterium. RNAcentral's name for it is "partial 16S ribosomal RNA". It matches the Rfam family "Bacterial small subunit ribosomal RNA", at positions 28 to 523 of the family's 1533-position model. The record is from RNAcentral.